RNAcentral lists this ribosomal RNA (564 nucleotides) under uncultured bacterium. RNAcentral's name for it is "bacterial SSU rRNA". It matches the Rfam family "Bacterial small subunit ribosomal RNA", at positions 416 to 912 of the family's 1533-position model. The record is from RNAcentral.
UUUCUUUCUGUUGAGUACUGUUGAUAAAAGAACAUCCUCGUGCUGCGNGACGAGGGAGCAGAAAUAGGCGAUCGAUGGCCCUAAAUAUCGUCUCAGAUCUUGAUUGUACCUCGCAGAGGAAGCCCCGGCUAACUCUGUGCCAGCAGCCGCGGUAAUACAGAGGGGGGCUAGCGUUUAUUCGGGAAAUUAUUGGGGCGUAAAAGCGGCGUCGUAGGCCGGCCCUUUUCAAGUGAGCGGGGUNAAAGCCCCUCGGGCUUAACCCGAGGAAGCUGCGCUCUCAGACUAGGUAGGCUUGAGACCGGGAGAGGAGAGUGGAAUUCCCAGUGUAGCGGUGAAAUGCGUAGAUAUUGGGAGGAACACCAGUGGCGAAGGCGGCUCACUGGACCGGUACUGACGCUGGGACGCGAAAGCGUGGGGAGCAAACAGGAUUAGAUACCCUGGUAGUCCACGCCGUAAACGAUGAGUGCUUGGUGUAGCGGGUAUCGACCCCUGCUGUGCCGCAGUCAACACAUUAAGCACUCCGCCUGGGGAGUACGGUCGCAAGACUAAAACUCAAAGGAAUUG